GAAAUGAUUUUGAGGUGCAUAGAAUGUGUAAAUGUUGUAAUAAACGUGGGUGUUCAAUACAUACGGUGGAAGUUGUGUAAUAGGGAUGUAGGUAGGUCUAAAAUAAUUGAUGGUCCUUACGACAAUUAUGAAAUUGUGGUAGUGAAAUUACAAAUGAAAAGAGUGACUAGAAAAUAAAACAUUUCAUUAAACAUAAGAAAGAUAUGAAAAGUACUGCAAGUUCAUUGAUAUAUGAACGACCAGGAAACGAGACGUUAUACUACAUACUGAAAUGAAAACAAAUAACUAAUCCCUACAAAUAAGUACUACAUGAUAAGGUAAAAUUAGAACGACAACUGAAAGUGUAAGGGUACAACACAUAAAUGGUACUUACAAUAUUAAAAGCUAACGACAACAGUAUUGAAAUUUAAAAUCUAGAAUGAACGCCUUGUGCGAGCAUAGUACUGGACAUCAUCUUCAUUUACAAAUCUUUGUUGAAUCAUAACAUCAAUAAUAUGAUGAGUAUUGAAUUGAUUUUGAGGUGCAUAGAAUGAGUAAAUGUUAUAAUAAACGCGGGUGUUCAAUACAUACCGUGGAAGUUGUGGAAUAGGGAUGAAGAUAGGUCUAAAAUGUGUUGUAAGAAAAAUGUUGUCAUGAAACGUACUUGAGAAUGUUUGGUUUUUAUAUUGGAUUUGAUUUUCAUAAAAAUAUUAUAAUAUUCAUUGGCAUGGUUGCGAAUAUUGUUGUUCACGGAUUGAACUGUAUGAGAGGAGAUGGGCAACGGAAGUGUCGUUAGGGUUUGGGGAGGACGGGGAAAAUUGUACAUCAUUGUAGUAGGUUGUGGAAUGAAUCCCUAAAUCACUUCCUCCGACAAGUCGAACAAGGCCUGUGAAAAAGUGACGGAGUCUUCGGAUGAACAAUGGCCAUCUACAACAUGACAUUCAGAAGCCCCAUGGGUACGGCGUCGGGGUUCCAGGAGAGGUUGGAAAUGGAAGAAUCCGACUCCGACGACCAUGAAUACUCGGGUACUUUCUCCUCAUCAUCGGACACAAUAAUGAUAAGCGGAGCAACCAUUUUUUGACGAGGUUUAGAAGAAAGGAGAAAUGGUGGAUGAAGAUAAAGAAAACUGACCUCCGUUGUUUUUAUAGAAGAUGAUGUAGACAAUGUAGUUCUUGAUGUAGUAUUACUGAUGCAGGAGUUAUCGUAUUCGGCGGAUGUCAGAGUAGGGAAAGACAUCCCCUACAUAGGUCGGUUGUCAUGAUGAUUGACAACCGGACCUCAUUCAAAAAAUAAAAGUAAAAACUUCAGACAAAGAACUAACCUUGGAGAUGACUAGAUGAAGAAGAUUGAAAGAAAAUAGAUAAGAAUGAAUGAAAUAGAAGAGAAAUGAAGAUAUAGGAAAACCAAAUCCGCCGUGCACGAUUUUUUGUUGUUGCAGUUUAACAUCAGAAACAGUGGGCGUAUGAUGCAC
RNAcentral lists this long non-coding RNA (1450 nucleotides) under Zostera marina. RNAcentral's name for it is "long non-coding RNA (ZMAR_LNC001040)". Lineage: Eukaryota; Viridiplantae; Streptophyta; Magnoliopsida; Alismatales; Zosteraceae. The record is from RNAcentral.